Cyanidioschyzon merolae strain 10D is the source of this 1793-nucleotide RNA transcript. RefSeq lists it as hypothetical. The record is from RefSeq and is a predicted model, not a curated record. The transcript has a single exon. NCBI's taxonomy places the organism in Eukaryota, Rhodophyta, Bangiophyceae, Cyanidiales, Cyanidiaceae.
GCCUGCAAGCAGUGCAGGGUGCAUUCUGAAGCGGGAUUGAGAUACGAAACUUGUGGUCUUUCAUUCCUGAAUCGACUGGUACGGAAAGCGGACUGAUGUGGUAACGAGGUACUGAAUAUCAGAAUGAAACCCUUAGAACUUGGAGGGUGCUGAAUGCUGUCUGUUUUAGGAACAAGGCACUCUACCUCCAGUCUACGUCUCAAGGGGUUUUCGGGUGCUACGUGCCUUCGGAUCUGAGCGUGCGGUAGUGAACUCUGAUUGGAACCCCCUGAGAAUCUUUGGUGCUGAAUACUGUCUGUUGCUGCAACAAGGCACUGCACACAUCCUUUAGGCGUGCAGGGUCAGUUUGAUGCUGAAUAGCUCGAUCGCACACGACUACUUCCAAGUGUGUACGUUCGCUGAUCUACCCUACGCGGAUCCGGUUGCUCCGCUCCACAGUCCAUAACGCUGAUCUCACUCUACCCCGUGCUUUGAUUAUCUACUGGAUAGCAGGCAGCAGUACGUGCCGCGUAUUGCACCAUAGUGCUUGCGCUUGCGGUGCGAUGGAGCCGCGGCAACGACGUCCAUAUGCAUGACUAUGCUCUUGAUCGCUAGUACACAAGCGACCUGGCUUUACAAAUCAACAGCUGCGAUCAAAAGCGUCAUGGAAAGCACGAUUUCAAGGCUACGGGACGGAAAACCCGGUGCCGAAUCGUCCAAGUCCGACUCAUCGCCUCGUGAACGAGCCUUGACCCCUGUGAACGAGCCCACAUGAGCGCGUCUUUCGACCAGCAGCGAAACCUGGAAAGCCACAUCUACAGUUCUCACAGCGCUGUGAAGACCAGGCUGCGCGCUCUCGCACAUUGCAUCAGCGUACUUGCUGGAGACGAACUGUGCUUGCCGUUGCGCACUCAGUGAUUCGGGGUGCACCUGCGUUCUAGUGGCUCUCAUUCAGAGCCAACACGCUGCUUGUACACAGCCGUGCGUCCAUGAAGGGCAUCCCUGCACCGUGGCGGUCAAGUUGAUGCUGCCGCGAGAAAUGCCGCUCAUCGCCGCAAGGCCUUGUGCUCGUGAUGCAUAUCGAGGUGCUCCGAUCACGCUCUGCUUGCAGUGUUUGCAAUCGACGUAGCGUUUCCGAGCACUCGCCUGCCUCAAUUAGUGCCUGCAUACAUUGGUGGAACACCGGACUCCACACUUUUGCGCUGAGAUGCGAGCAAGUCGCCUUCAACAUGCUCGAAGACACAUGUGCCGUUUCCGCUCAGGAGUGGGGAUCCGAAAUGCAGCUGCGCGCAUCCUGAGCACUCCAAGCAACAACAAGUUUGAGCGAUUCUUCCCGAGAUGCCUCGCGCAGUUUUCGCGAGUCUGCCGCAUGGACCACUGUGGGCAGAGAUCGCGGCUCGAGGAGGUGCGUCCAGACUUGCCUUGCGUUCCCCGGAGUGUGCAUGGGCAAGCGACUUUAGUAUUGUACGGAACGGGUCAGGCUUUCUUCGAGCAAGGCUCAGAGCUAAACGGCUUCGUUGUGGCCUUGUCGACUUCGAGUCUGAGGAAGACGUUUUCGGUGGCGCGGUGCGGCGCAGCGCAGCGCAGCGUGUGUAGAAACGUUCGGCAGAAAGCACGGCUUCAUGAUAUCCCAGAGCAGUGUACGGUCUAGCGGGUUGCGACCCGCCGCGCCCCCGGGGGCGUCCGUUCUGUGAGGCAAGACGUGCUGCACGCCAAAGGCGGGGCACGGUGACGAGUCCCCGCCCCAUUCUAUCGCAAACCGCGUGAGCCAAUGCCCAUUGCAGCGUCAUUUUGUAAACGCAUAGCAGACACCU